RNAcentral lists this long non-coding RNA (303 nucleotides) under Sorghum bicolor (sorghum). RNAcentral describes it as "long non-coding RNA (SBIC_LNC014717)". Lineage: Eukaryota; Viridiplantae; Streptophyta; Magnoliopsida; Poales; Poaceae. The record is from RNAcentral.
AUAGGCUUUGAAGAUUUUGGUGGUUCGAGAUGUGUGCUCGUAGGUCUAUGAAAUUCAUAGAUAGACAUGUUUGAAUUCAUAAUAGACCAGAGAUCAAAGAUUAGAUAAGAAGAAAGAUUAGCAGAGAUGAGGCAAAGGAUAAAAGGAAAAUAUAUAUUAUUUUAUUUUUUAGAAAAUGAUUAAGCUAGUUCGUAGUCAACUCAGCAACUGUUUCCCCGGCAACGGCGCCAAAGAUGCUUGUUGACACUUGCUAACACCACUUGAAUACUAGGUUGUCAUCCCCAGCAUGGCACUAGAGUGUAC